AGGCACCUGGAGCCUGCGUGAAUUAAAAUUUCAGAUUGGCCUGCAAACAGCUGAUUGCUCUGCUUUUCUUCUGCACCUGUUUCUCUUGCCUUCACAGCCCCAGGAAAUCAACCUAAAGGACCAGCUAGUGCUUUUUGUAUCACUGCCACCAUUUAGUGGGGACAUCUUUACUUCCCAGUGGUCACUGCAAUUUUGUAAAUUUUUAAGAUUCAUUAGAAGUCCACCAUCACCUCAAGUUUGGGUGCCUGAUGACUCUUUCCUUUAUAACCAGAUGUCAGUUAAUUUUAAAUCAUUUUGGAAUUGUUUGCCUUUGCUUUCUCUGUCUGUUUUUUUUUUUUUUUGGUAGAUUGUUACAAAGGUUAGGGGAGCAUUUUCUACAAAGGAAAAGGAGCAAGCGAACAAAGUAAGCUGCUGCCAAGUACACCAUGCAGUGAGAUGGUUGUCACGGAUCUUAGAGCUGGAUGAAACCAGGGUGACAUCAAAGACCAUGAGAUGGAAUCAGACUGCUUUGAACAGGAUGCCUCAGCGGUAUCCAGCUUUGAUGUGGUAAACUGAGGUCCAGGAGAUGACUAGACCCACUGGGAGCAGGAGGACCCUAUGGACACGGGAAAGUCUCAACCCAGCAACGUGGCCAUGGAUCCCAGGGCAAAGAGAAUUCAUUGGCAGGGUACAGCCGCCGUAGAAGAGCCCAGGGAUGGCUGGAAUGUUCUCCUUCGAUCAUGGGAACUGCAGCAUGAAUCUCCGCUCACAGCAUGAGCUGCUGGGCAUAAACUGUUUGGCAUUUUGUGGACUGGUGGUUCAAAUCCUGGCCAGAUUGUUUUGGGACGCAGCCAUAUCUGCUAUGGGUCAACGACACUCCUGAGAGGCCGGAAAGAGCAAGUCUUUUAAGAAUGUAAAAGAACUAGGAAAACAAGAUGUGAGUGACUCAGUGGGCCUCCUGCAGUGUCCUCUCACCUUUAACCACGCCUCCCCAUGUGGAUUCACUGAAAAGAGUCAGCUCAAGGGAGAUGGUGAGCCUUAAAUAAUGCCAUUUCGGCCACUAGUCCCAGUUACAUCCCAGCAGCUUCUAAAGCGAAAGAAAUGCUGGUGGCUGUUGGCAAUGUUCCUCCCACUCCUCCGUCAUCCUGGAAAUAUGAUCUUGGAGGCAAACAGUCUCAUUACUACUAGGAAGACCUGCCUGGCUGCCAUGUACCCCAUGCAUGCAUUUGUGUGUCUAACAUCAACCUUUCCCCAUUAGUACGCUCCACUAGGGCAUGGGGUG
Bos taurus (domestic cattle) is the source of this 1261-nucleotide long non-coding RNA. The record is from Ensembl. Lineage: Eukaryota; Metazoa; Chordata; Mammalia; Artiodactyla; Bovidae.